ACUAAUUAGAACAAUGAUGGGCGGGUCCGCCUGCCCUCUCGAUUGCGAGGAAAUACGGACAGACUUAGUGUCGGCUGGUCGUUCCCCAGCGGGCAUGAAAAAUAAGUACCCGGCCUGUCGCAAGACAUGUGGGUACAGGUUUCCUUAGCAGUCUUCGAGGGU
RNAcentral lists this small RNA (162 nucleotides) under Enterobacter sp. CC120223-11. RNAcentral describes it as "sroC RNA". It matches the Rfam family "sroC RNA". From Rfam's summary of the family: This family consists of a number of bacterial sroC RNA genes of around 160 bases in length. sroC is found in several Enterobacterial species. It base-pairs with GcvB. This interaction triggers the degradation of GcvB by RNase E, alleviating the GcvB-mediated mRNA repression of other amino acid-related transport and metabolic genes. The record is from RNAcentral. Lineage: Bacteria; Pseudomonadati; Pseudomonadota; Gammaproteobacteria; Enterobacterales; Enterobacteriaceae.